GACGAACGCUGGCGGCGUGCCUAAUACAUGCAAGUCGAACGCUUCUUUCCUCCCGAGUGCUUGCACUCAAUUGGAAAGAGGAGUGGCGGACGGGUGAGUAACACGUGGGUAACCUACCCAUCAGAGGGGGAUAACACUUGGAAACAGGUGCUAAUACCGCAUAACAGUUUAUGCCGCAUGGCAUAAGAGUGAAAGGCGCUUUCGGGUAUCGCUGAUGGAUGGACCCGCGGUGCAUUAGCUAGUUGGUGAGGUAACGGCUCACCAAGGCCACGAUGCAUAGCCGACCUGAGAGGGUGAUCGGCCACACUGGGACUGAGACACGGCCCAGACUCCUACGGGAGGCAGCAGUAGGGAAUCUUCGGCAAUGGACGAAAGUCUGACCGAGCAACGCCGCGUGAGUGAAGAAGGUUUUCGGAUCGUAAAACUCUGUUGUUAGAGAAGAACAAGGACGUUAGUAACUGAACGUCCCCUGACGGUAUCUAACCAGAAAGCCACGGCUAACUACGUG
Molecule: ribosomal RNA, 508 nt
Filed under: uncultured bacterium
Lineage: Bacteria
Description: partial 16S ribosomal RNA
Rfam family: Bacterial small subunit ribosomal RNA
Source: RNAcentral